RNAcentral lists this long non-coding RNA (212 nucleotides) under Nicotiana benthamiana. RNAcentral describes it as "long non-coding RNA (NBEN_LNC019182)". Lineage: Eukaryota; Viridiplantae; Streptophyta; Magnoliopsida; Solanales; Solanaceae. The record is from RNAcentral.
UGCAGUUGACUUAGAUCAAGUAUCUAAAUAGAUAAUUAAAAGAAAAACUCAAAUUUGAGUAUUUCUCUUCUAGUUUUUAAUUUUCGGCAACGAAACAUUGAAAAUGAAGGGUAGCUGUGCUCUUUUUCUUCUUCUUAGGGGCCACUAAAGAAGCCGUCCAAUGUGGGGAGGAAGAAGAAAAAGCAGAAAGUACAUAGAUGAUCACAUAGGAA